This is a non-coding RNA of Nicotiana tabacum (common tobacco), 1668 nucleotides long. The record is from RefSeq and is a predicted model, not a curated record. Lineage: Eukaryota; Viridiplantae; Streptophyta; Magnoliopsida; Solanales; Solanaceae.
GUGGCAUUCCAUCCCACGUCAUACAAAACCCUUCCUCUUCAACCUUUAGGAUCACAUUUUAGAAACUCCAAUUUGAGAAGAGCAUAAUCUUCCCAAAUAGCUUCUUCUUUUGGCAGGUUCGCCCAUUCAACCAAGACAUGUAUUACCGCCCUGUUUCCUCUCUUGACCAAUUUUCUUUUCAAAAUCACCACUGGUGCUGCUAAAAUCCAGAUAUCAUCGGAGCAAUACGGGGUUUUUGGGAUGGAAUAAUGUGAUCUCCUACCCUCUUCUGAUGAAUUUUUGAAGUAGCUGGCAAUUUGAGUUAAUACGCCACUGGCCCUAUUUCCUGAUCACUUCAUACGGCUCAAAGAAUCCAGCAGAUAACUUCAAACUCCUCUGCAUAGCCAUGGAUACCUGCCGAUAAGGCUGCAAUUUCAGAAAUACCAUGUCCCCUAUUGCAAAUUCCCUUUCAGUUCUUUUGGAAUCUGCAUAUUACUUCAUUCCAUUCUGAGUCUUGAUCAAAUUAUCCUUCGGAAAUUUGUUGACAAUCUACCUUUCUUUCAUUAACUGGUCCACAAAUUCGAGUUUGAAUUGUAAAAUAAACUCGAAGGAUGGCAGAGAAGGUUAGCCAUACAUACCCUUAAAUGGAGUCAUCCAUAUGGAUGAGUGAAAAUUAGUGUUACCAGAAUUCGACCAUCGGAAUCUAUUUGCUCCAAUCCUUGGGUUUGUAUCGUGUCAUACAACGCAGAUAAGCCUCAAUACACUGAUUCGAUCUUUCUGAUUGUCAUGGUAAGCUGAACUAAGCCUUUGCUCGACUUACAGGCCUUUAAAAAGUAAAUUUCAAAAUAAACUCUUGAAAAUUAUGUCUCUAUUGGACAUGAUGGAAUGUAGAAAAACAUGAAGCUUACAAACAUGGUGCAACAAAAUUUGUGCCACCUGAGAAGUAUUAUAAGGGUGAGUUAAGGUGAACAAAUGGGCAUAUUUUCUAUACAUGUCGAUACUAACUAAAAUGGUGUCUUUUUCAUGUGAUCUUGGUAGGCCUUCAAUUAAGUCCAUCGUCAAGUGCUCUUAAGCUUUGGAUGGAAUUGAUAAUGGCUACAAAAGUCCAGGGAAUGUUGGAAAUUUGGGCUCUCAUGAAGAAAUCUGACUCAAAAAGAAGUGUUCCGACUCACAAGGCAAGAAGGGGCGCAAUACACAAGAAAUGCGGUGCGCAGAGGUAUUUCUGCGGCCACAGAAGAAAGUGCGGACUACAGAAUUGGUGAAGAAGCCCAACAGACUUUAAGCAGAAGUACGGACCGCACAUGAAUUGUGCGGCCGCAAAACAGGAUUCGCACCGACAAGAAUUCAAAUGUUCAGAGAGUGUACAAAUUACCAAGACUUGAAGCCUUGCCUGAAGUGCGGACCGCACAAGAGUUAUGCGGCCGCAAAAGCCCUUGCAGCCGCACACCAAAUUGUGCGGCUGCAGAAUCCAAGUCCCUACAAAACCAAGCAAUGUACGGACUACACAUGGAAUUGUGCGGCAGCAGAAUCUCCCGAGUGGCAUUUUUGUUAGUGAAUUUUGGGCCACUAUAAAUAGAUGGGAAUCACAUUUUUAAGUCAAAUUUUGAAGUUCAAGCAGCUGUAGCCGUUGUAAUUUUCCAUUUUAGGAUAUUUGUGAUCAUUUUGGAAUUUAAACAUCAUAGUUUAUCA